UCCGUAGUAACACCACGGCAGUCCCCCGUGACACAAGUAACACGGGGCAAGGGUUGCGCUCGUUGCGGGACUUAACCCAACAUCUCACGACACGAGCUGACGACAGCCAUGCAGCACCGGUGCUACACCCUCGAAGGCGACCCGGUUUCUCGGGCUUGCAGUAGCAUGUCAAGCCCUGGUAAGGUUCUUCGCGUUGCAUCGAAUUAAGCCACAUGCUCCACCGCUUGUGCGGGCCCCCGCCAAUUCCUUUGAGUUUCAACCUUGCGGCCGUAGUCCCCAGGCGGUUCACUUAAUGCGUUAGCUGCGGCACCGAGGGAAACCCCCGACACC
RNAcentral lists this unclassified non-coding RNA (330 nucleotides) under uncultured bacterium. Its description in RNAcentral is "contains 16S-23S intergenic spacer region". The record is from RNAcentral.